GCCUUCAUGGUGUAGUAGUCAGCACAAUCGACACAUAUUCGAGAGGUCCGUGGUUCGAGUCCCGGCGAGGGCA
This 73-nucleotide transfer RNA is filed under the name Stegodyphus mimosarum. It matches the Rfam family "tRNA". Rfam says of the family: Transfer RNA (tRNA) molecules are approximately 80 nucleotides in length. Lineage: Eukaryota; Metazoa; Arthropoda; Arachnida; Araneae; Eresidae. The record is from Rfam by way of RNAcentral.